This 748-nucleotide long non-coding RNA is filed under the name Macaca mulatta (Rhesus monkey). Its description in RNAcentral is "lncRNA (ENSMMUG00000063379.1)". The record is from RNAcentral. Lineage: Eukaryota; Metazoa; Chordata; Mammalia; Primates; Cercopithecidae.
CAGUUCUUGAAAAUGUGACAGACCAUAUACAAUAUACAAGAAACAAUAAGAUUUUAUGCAGAACAUAAAAGCUUUAGGAAAAAUAGGGCUUCUUAAUCUGUAACUUUAAUAAAUUUAACAUUAACUUUUAAAAAGCAACAUUAACCUCUGAAUGGUAUUUUCUGCCCUCAAAACCACUCGAGGGCACCAAAAAAGCUCAUAUUGAAUAGAAGCAACAUAAAAGAAACUUUCUAAUUAUUCCAUCCUUCAGGAACAGGGCCAAGGGAGGUGGUCGGGAGAAAUGAAGCACUGUCCGGACAGUGUGAAGGUGAUCUAUGCUGUGGUCAGAACAGCAGAAGGCCAUGAACUUUGUGGUGAAUGCCUUUGUUUUGAGUCAAAUGUUCCUUGGCACAUGAAGGAACAUCAGGUCCAAAGGCUCGUAGUGACUGAACAGAUAACGUGAAUUCCAUCAAAGCUUGACUUCUGCUCAUCCCUGCCUCUCCUCCCGAAGAUAGUAUGGAAUUGCAAGGGAAGAAUUGGUCCACGUCUAUGAAAGGAGGCCUCUGAAACAUGCUGACUUCACAGAGGAGAAGGAAUGAGCUCAAUUUCAGGCACCUCCUGGGGGCGGUCAAGAGCAGAAUGAAGGAGAACAGGGUUCUUCAUGGAGUCCUUGGAAACAGAAACUUAGUCCCUGGUCUCAGCUGGUUUAUAGCAAGUUCCCAUUUGACAGUGAUUUAAGGCCCCUCAGGACCCAAAUCAUGUUCAGUUU